GCUAAAUGCGGAAGAGAUAAGUGCUGAAAGCAUCUAAGCACGAAACUUGCCCCGAGAUGAGUUCUCCCUGACCCUUUAAGGGUCCUGAAGGAACGUUGAAGACGACGACGUUGAUAGGCCGGGUGUGUAAGCGCAGCGAUGCGUUGAGCUAACCGGUACUAAUGAACCGUGAGGCUUAACCUU
This 183-nucleotide ribosomal RNA is filed under the name Escherichia coli. RNAcentral's name for it is "partial 23S ribosomal RNA". It matches the Rfam family "Bacterial large subunit ribosomal RNA", at positions 2748 to 2925 of the family's 2925-position model. Lineage: Bacteria; Pseudomonadati; Pseudomonadota; Gammaproteobacteria; Enterobacterales; Enterobacteriaceae. The record is from RNAcentral.